UACGUAGGGUGCAAGCGUUGUCCGGAAUUAUUGGCGUAAGAGCUCGUAGGCGUUGUCGCGUCUGCUGUGAAACCGGCUCACCGCUUGCGUCGAUACGCAGCUGAGUUCGUAGGGAGACUGAUCUGUGUAGCGUGAAUGCGCAGAUAUCAGAGACACGUGCGAGCGUCUCUGCGAUACUGACGCUGAGAGCGAGCGUGGGAGCGACAGAUAGACCCUGUAGUAGACAGUCUCUGCUACGU
This 239-nucleotide ribosomal RNA is filed under the name uncultured bacterium. Its description in RNAcentral is "partial 16S ribosomal RNA". The record is from RNAcentral.